Molecule: ribosomal RNA, 623 nt
Filed under: uncultured Bacillota bacterium
Lineage: Bacteria; Bacillati; Bacillota
Description: bacterial SSU rRNA
Rfam family: Bacterial small subunit ribosomal RNA
Source: RNAcentral
AGGAGUUUUGAUCCUGGCUCAGGACGAACGCUGGCGGCGUGCCUAAUACAUGCAAGUCGAGCGGACUUGACAGAGCUUGCUCUGUUCAAGUUAGCGGCGGACGGGUGAGUAACACGUGGGCAACCUGCCCUGCAGAUUGGGAUAACUCCGGGAAACCGGGGCUAAUACCGAAUAACAUCGAAGACCUCCUGGUCUUCCUUUAAAAGACGGUUUCGGCUGUCACUGCAGGAUGGGCCCGCGGCGCAUUAGCUAGUUGGUGAGGUAACGGCUCACCAAGGCGACGAUGCGUAGCCGACCUGAGAGGGUGAUCGGCCACACUGGGACUGAGACACGGCCCAGACUCCUACGGGAGGCAGCAGUAGGGAAUCUUCCGCAAUGGACGAAAGUCUGACGGGAGCAACGCCGCGUGAGUGAUGAAGGUUUUCGGAUCGUAAAACUCUGUUGUCAGGGGAAGAACAAGUACGGGAGUAACUGCCCGUGCCUUGGACGGUACCUGGCCAGAAAGCCACGGCUUAACUACUGUGCCAGCAGCCGCGGGUAAUACGUAGGUGGCAAGCGUUGUCCGGGAUUUAUUGGGGCGUAAAGGCGCGCAGGCGGUCUUUUAAAGUCUGAUGUGGAAAGCC